ACGAACGCUGGCGGCAGGCCUAACACAUGCAAGUCGAGCGAGGACUUCGGUUCUAGCGGCGGACGGGUGAGUCACGCGUGGGAAUGUGCCCUUCUCUACGGAAUAGCCCUGGGAAACUGGGAGUAAUACCGUAUACGCCCUUUUGGGGAAAGAUUUAUCGGAGAAGGAUCAGCCCGCGUUGGAUUAGGUAGUUGGUGGGGUAAUGGCCUACCAAGCCGACGAUCCAUAGCUGGUUUGAGAGGAUGAUCAGCCACACUGGGACUGAGACACGGCCCAGACUCCUACGGGAAGCAGCAGUGGGGAAUCUUAGACAAUGGGGGCAACCCUGAUCUAGCCAUGCCGCGUGAGUGAUGAAGGCCUUAGGGUUGUAAAGCUCUUUCAGCUGGGAAGAUAAUGACGGUACCAGCAGAAGAAGCCCCGGCUAACUCCGUG
RNAcentral lists this ribosomal RNA (432 nucleotides) under uncultured bacterium. Its description in RNAcentral is "partial 16S ribosomal RNA". It matches the Rfam family "Bacterial small subunit ribosomal RNA", at positions 29 to 507 of the family's 1533-position model. The record is from RNAcentral.